This 260-nucleotide ribosomal RNA is filed under the name uncultured bacterium. Its description in RNAcentral is "partial 16S ribosomal RNA". It matches the Rfam family "Bacterial small subunit ribosomal RNA", at positions 28 to 286 of the family's 1533-position model. The record is from RNAcentral.
GACGAACGCUUGCGACGUGCCUGAGAAAUGCAAGUCGAGCGGUGGAUGACCUUUCGGGGUUAUUCAUAGCGGCGAACGGUCGAGUAACACGUAACCGACCUGCCCCAGAGUCUGGGAUAGCCCUCCGAAAGGGGGAGUAAUACCGGAUGGUCUCGUUGAGGUGCAUGCCUUGAUGAGUAAAAGCUUUAUGUGCUUUGGGAGGGGGUUGCGGCCUAUCAGCUGGUUGGUGAGGUAACGGCCACCAAGGCGACGACGGGUAG